This 2723-nucleotide long non-coding RNA is filed under the name Zerene cesonia (dogface butterfly). Its description in RNAcentral is "uncharacterized LOC119828989". Lineage: Eukaryota; Metazoa; Arthropoda; Insecta; Lepidoptera; Pieridae. The record is from RNAcentral.
UGCACGCUUUGGCUUUACUUGAUGGGUGGUAUAGCGGAUGGUUGCUCUGGCCCGGUCAGUUCCUUACCUCGGUUGCUGUCAGACGAUCGCUUUACCGAUCCAGCGAUUGAGUAUUCCGACAACAAUAAACUAAACUUAUUCAACAAAUCGGAUUUUAUGAGACAGUGUGUGUGAAAGACAUAACUUCAGUGCUCAGUUUUAAUAAAAUUUUGGUUAUCAUUAAGUAAGACAAGUUAUAAUACAGUCUAGGUAAGUUAUGGUUUUUAUAUUUAUGAACUCAGUAGAACAUUCAUGUUAUUGUUAUGCUGUUCAAACAAGCAGAAUUUUUGUACGAUUUUUUAUAUUAUUAUAUUUAUUAAGAACUGUACAUUAUAAACAAGAAAAAAAUUCUAUAUUAUAUAAUCCAUAUAAUCCAUAUCUAAAUGUUCAUUCAAGUUCCAGGAAUAUAUUGUUGUUAUGCAAUUAACUGUUAGAUUUAAAAUAAUAUUUUUUUUUAUAAACACAAGCAUGAUAUUUGAACUUUUUUAUCUUAACUUCUUUCAUUUAUCCCCCAUUUAUUCAGCACUCCCUUAUUAUUUCUUUUUACCAGCUCGCCUCCACCCAAAACGAAAAAUAGUAAAAAAAAAUAUUUAUCUUCGAACUACAAUAAUAUUAAGUAGCCUUUUGCCAAGGCAAAGUAGGCUAAACUAUAGCCCUUCUUACUCGGAAAUGAUUGUGUUCUUGCUCCUUUGAUUGCAAUCAUUGAGUAUAACAUUAUGUAAAUUGUACAUCUUAAUCUAAAAAUCAUAUGCAAAAAUCUAACGACUGUUCGACAUUUUAACUAAUGUUUGUUGUUUAAUGAAGUGACUUGUCCCAUGAAUGUCUUAAUGGGAAUAAAUGCCUUAAACCUUAAGAGUUCUGAUGGUAAUAGAAUUAUUCUCAUCGGCCAAAUAGUAUUAAAGUUAAAUUAUAAAAUGCGGAAACAAAAAAAAAAUAUUCCUUUUUAUAAUACUAGUUUCCAGAUUUAUUAGGUUCCGUAACCUAAGGAUACAAUGUGCACCUAUUACCAAGACUUCGCUGCCCGUCUAUAUGACAGUUGAAAAUUUCAGAGUAUUUCUGUUGCCGCUAUAGCAACAAAUAAAUUAAAAAUCGAGGUUAAGCAACGGUUGACACUGUCAUAAAAUGGAUGGGCGACCAUUUUAUUUCGCAGUUGCUUUUUGGCUUCAUUUUCAUUCGGAACUCUUAGUGUCGGGCACGCACUUGACAGAUUUUAUUACAUUCAUUAUUAUAUAACAAGCCGGUAGCUCAGUAAUGCAAAUAAGUAUUAUAUCAUAUAAUUUUUCCCUGGAAAUGUUAUAAUUUUUCAAAUUAUAUACUUAACUUACUAGCUGUGACUUGUGGUGUCACUCACGACUUACAUGGUGUAAUGUAAGGAAUGCUAUAUACCUUCAUAAAUGGAUAUCUAACACUGCAAUUUUUUUUUAAUCGGACCAUUUCCUGAGAUUAUCGCGUUCAAAUAAACUCUUCGCCUUUAGUAUAGGAUAACAAUAGCCACAGUAAAAACUAUGAAUAGUUUUACAUAAAAAUGGUGUUGCUUACAAACUGUAGCGUUUGCGAAACACGAAUAUUAAAUGAGUUGUGAAGAAUACUGCCAGUUCGACACUAAUUGGAUAAAUUUAUAGCUCGAGUGUCAGUCUCCCUUGCGCCCGAAAGGAUUUCGAUUAAUAUUGCUUUUGAUUCUUGGAAAUCCUUUAUGAACACAUUUGUAUGCAAUGUAAAUAUAUGCAAUUUAUACUUAACAAUAUUAAGCUGAAAAGUUUGUUUGUAGGAACGUGCUAAUAUCAGAAACAACGGGUUCGGUUUGUAAAAUUCUUUCAUCGCUGAAUAUGUACAUGAUCCCAGAGUACUAUAGGCUAUGGUUAUGUGUACCACGGACGGAGACAGGACGGAGCGGUAGAGAAGUAAGCAGAAAAAUACACUUAUGUCAGGCUUAUUAGGUAUUUAGAAAUUAUCCACAUUUUGCUUUAUACUUGUAUAGUACAAUUGAUACAAAUAGAUAAAGAAAAAUCUUCAUAUGUAAUAUAAUGGAAGUAAUAAACUAACGACGAUUAUCGCUCGCAUUGUCAGAGGUAAUUAAUUCCCUUGGAAAUAAGAUGCCCAAUCAUUACGUAUACCAUUCACUAUUGACAUUAAUUAUAUUUAAUUUAUAUAGAAAUAAAGAAUAAAGCAAACUUACAUUAGCUUAAUUAGUUAUUGAUGUUUCCCAUGAGACCAUUUUAUGUCAAUUCUAUUUCUUGAUUACGAGAAUGUCAAGAUAAACAACUGACGUAUUUAUAUGAAUUGCAUCUUUGCUUAAGGUCUUGAAGAUAUAUAAUUAAAUUAUAGUCUUAUCAAAUAUGAGUUUAAAUUUGUUUCAUGUAGGGUAGGCCAGCCUACCAGAUUGUGUCGGAAUUCCAUCGCCUAGCGCACACGGCAUUUCGUCGUUUUGGGAUCGAAAUGUGACAUCAACAAUCCUAUCAGCCUAUAAAACUUACCCUCAUAAACCCAACCGGGCGGUAAAGCAAUAAAACUUAAAAUUCCUUUAUCUAAACGCAUCUAUACUAACUUAAAAGCCGAAGUUUGUUUCAACCAAACUACGAUCUAUUCUCAAGUACUACCGGUAUGUAUUAAAGAAUUAUUUGUGUUGGAUAGUCCAUUUAUUGAGGGAGACUAUAAUGGGCUAUGUAUAACCAAACCAAAAAUAC